CCUACGGUGGCUGCAGGGAGGAAUAGUGGUCAAUGGGCGCGAGCCUGAACCAGCCAAGUAGCGUGAAGGAUGACUGCCCUACGGGUUGUAAACUUCUUUUAUAAAGGAAGAAAGUGAGGAACGUGUGCCUUUUUGAAGGUACGUUAGGAAUAAGGAUCGGCGAACUCCGUGCCAGCAGCCGCGGUAAUACGGAGGAUCCGAGCGUUAGCCGGAUUUGUUGGGUUUAAAGGGAGCGUAGAUGGGUUGUUAAGGCAGUUGUGCAAGUUUGCGGCUCAACCGUAAAAUUGCAAUUGAUACUGGCAGUCUUGAGUACAGUUGCGGUAGGCGGCAUUCGUGUUGUAGCGGUGACAUGCUUCGAUAUCAC
Molecule: ribosomal RNA, 364 nt
Filed under: uncultured bacterium
Lineage: Bacteria
Description: partial 16S ribosomal RNA
Rfam family: Bacterial small subunit ribosomal RNA
Source: RNAcentral